Long non-coding RNA from Brassica rapa (field mustard), 489 nucleotides. RefSeq lists it as uncharacterized. NCBI's taxonomy places the organism in Eukaryota, Viridiplantae, Streptophyta, Magnoliopsida, Brassicales, Brassicaceae. The record is from RefSeq and is a predicted model, not a curated record.
AAACGUGUUUUAACGGUAACAUUAUCGGUGGUUCCCUUUUUUUGUCCUGUCUCCAUCAAAGCCUAUGGAGACCAAAAACGAACCCCUGACCACCUGCUAGAAGCUCUCUCUUCCACUGGAGUCGCGGUGGUACAUAUCAGAUCUGAAAGCACGUGCGCGCUCAUGUACAAGGAUAUGGUGAAAUGGCGAGAGGAUAAUCUUCCUCCGGCUACAAUGAUGAUCAUAACCAAUCAGAUGCUAGAUGUCUUCCAUUGGGAUCUGGCCCGGCUUCAACAACGCACGCGGAAACAAAUAACAAUAAAUUGCAAGCGGAAACAACCAUAACAAUAAGCAUCAUUUAUUUUAGAUAGCUUACUCUCAAUGGAGUAAAAGUUGAAUACACAUGAUAGAUAUAACAAGGCAGGCACCCCGGUUAAGUGGGAAACAAGGAUACGUAAAGAAGUCUGAGAGGCCAAUGUUUAUAAACGCCAAAAAAAAAAAAAAAAAAAA